Eumeta japonica is the source of this 111-nucleotide non-coding RNA. Lineage: Eukaryota; Metazoa; Arthropoda; Insecta; Lepidoptera; Psychidae. The record is from the annotation of a GenBank genome assembly.
ACGUCCUUCCCACGCCGAAUACACGGGUUUUCGCCCGAUCACCGAGGUUAAGGAGCGUCGAACGUGGUCAGUACUUGGAUAGGUGACCGCCUGAGAACACCGCGUAAUGUU